This 347-nucleotide long non-coding RNA is filed under the name Capsicum annuum. Its description in RNAcentral is "long non-coding RNA (CANN_LNC021652)". Lineage: Eukaryota; Viridiplantae; Streptophyta; Magnoliopsida; Solanales; Solanaceae. The record is from RNAcentral.
UGCUGAUAGUUGAUUAACUUUUCAGUCCGUGCAUGAGUACCGACUUUGAGUCAAGUUUGUUGUAUUUAAGCCAACCUGUAAUAGAGACCCUUUUUAUGUUCAAUUCUUUCUCCGGUAGAACUCUAUCAGUUAACUCUUUUCCCUUUUGCUGUCGCCUCACCUCUCCUAGAUUUUAUAGAACUCUUUUACUUUAAAUCCUUUUCUUACUGAACUCCUUGUUCCACUUAACUUCUUUAAGACUUCUUUUCUGAUCUGACUCAGCUUCUGAUAUAAUCAAUGUUAUCUAUGCUUGUCUUGAACGCAGAAUCACAUCAUCCAAAAUUCUGUGCUAGCUAGACUAUUUCACC